Molecule: ribosomal RNA, 421 nt
Filed under: uncultured eukaryote
Lineage: Eukaryota
Description: SSU rRNA
Rfam family: Eukaryotic small subunit ribosomal RNA
Source: RNAcentral
CAAUAGCGUAUAUUAAAGUUGUUGCGGUUAAAAGCUCGUAGUUGGAUUUCUGCUGAGGACGACCGGUCCGCCCUCCGGGUGAGCAUCUGGUUCGGCCUUGGCAUCUUCUUGGUGAACGUAUCUGCACUUGACUGUGUGGUGCGGUACCCAGGACUUUUACUUUGAGGAAAUUAGAGUGUUUCAAGCAGGCAUACGCCUUGAAUACAUUAGCAUGGAAUAAUAAGAUAGGACCUCGGUUCUAUUUUGUUGGUUUCUAGAGCUGAGGUAAUGAUUAAUAGGGAUAUUUGGGGGCAUUCGUAUUAACCGGUCAGAGGUGGAAUUCUUGGAUUCGGUUACGACGAACUACUGCGAAAGCAUCUGUCAAGAAUGUUUUCAUUGAUCAAGAACGAAAGUGUGGGGAUCGAAGAUGAUUAGAUACCAU